UACAGAGGUCUCAAGCGUUGUUCGGAUUCAUUGGGCGUAAAGGGUGCGUAGGCGGCGCGGUAAGUCGGAUGUGAAAUCUCGGAGCUUAACUCCGAAACUGCAUUCGAUACUUCCGUGCUUGAGGACUGGAGAGGAGACUGGAAUUUACGGUGUAGCGGUGAAAUGCGUAGAUAUCGUAAGGAAGACCAGUGGCGAAGGCGGGUUUCUGGACAGUUCCUGACGCUGAGGCACGAAGGCCAGGGGAGCAAACGGG
RNAcentral lists this ribosomal RNA (253 nucleotides) under uncultured bacterium. RNAcentral describes it as "partial 16S ribosomal RNA". It matches the Rfam family "Bacterial small subunit ribosomal RNA", at positions 524 to 776 of the family's 1533-position model. The record is from RNAcentral.